AAGAGAGAGGAGAGUCCAGAGAGGGAAGAGAGAGAGGAGAGUCCAGAGAGGGAAGAGAGAGAGAGGAGAGUCCAGAGGAGGGAAGAGAGAGAGAGAAGAGUCCAGAGGAGGAAGAGAGAGAAGAGAGUCCAGGGAGGGAUGAGAGAGAGGAGAGUCCAGAGGAGGGAUGAGAGAGAGGAGAGUCCAGAGGAGGGAUGAGAGAGAGGAGAGUCCAGAGAGGGAAGAGAGAGGAGAGUCCAGAGAGGGAAGAGAGAGAGGAGAGUCCAGAGAGGGGAGAGAGAGAGGAGAGUCCAGAGAGGGAAGAGAGAGAGGAGAGUCCAGAGAGGGAAGAGAGAGAGGAGAGUCCAGAGAGGGAAGAGAGAGAGGAGAGUCCAGAGG
Oncorhynchus tshawytscha (Chinook salmon) is the source of this 378-nucleotide long non-coding RNA. The record is from Ensembl. NCBI's taxonomy places the organism in Eukaryota, Metazoa, Chordata, Actinopteri, Salmoniformes, Salmonidae.